UUUCACGGCUGAAUUAGAGAUUGGCUGUGAACCUUUAAACACUCUACUGGAGUAAUACCAUGUCUCUAAAUGCUGAGAUCAAAGCUCAAAUCGUUGCUGACAACGCUCGUUGCGCC
Molecule: regulatory RNA element, 116 nt
Organism: Aeromonas hydrophila subsp. hydrophila ATCC 7966
Lineage: Bacteria; Pseudomonadati; Pseudomonadota; Gammaproteobacteria; Aeromonadales; Aeromonadaceae
Rfam family: Ribosomal S15 leader
About the family: The E. coli Ribosomal S15 gene 5' UTR can form two alternative structures. One that is a series of three hairpins, The other includes a pseudoknot.
Source: Rfam